Molecule: ribosomal RNA, 396 nt
Filed under: uncultured bacterium
Lineage: Bacteria
Description: partial 16S ribosomal RNA
Rfam family: Bacterial small subunit ribosomal RNA
Source: RNAcentral
CCUACGGGGGGCAGCAGUGAGGAAUAUUGGUCAAUGGGCGCGAGCCUGAACCAGCCAAGUCGCGUGAGGGAUGACGGCCCUACGGGUUGUAAACCUCUUUUAUAAGGGAAUAAAGUGAGGCACGUGUGCCUUUUUGUAUGUACCUUAUGAAUAAGGAUCGGCUAACUCCGUGCCAGCAGCCGCGGUAAUACGGAGGAUCCGAGCGUUAUCCGGAUUUAUUGGGUUUAAAGGGUGCGUAGGUGGGUUGUUAAGUCAGCGGUGAAAGUUUGCGGCUCAACCGUAGAAUUGCCAUUGAUACUGGAAGUCUUGAGUACAGGUGAGGUAGGCGGAAUGCGUGGUGUAGCGGUGAAAUGCUUAGAUAUCACGAAGAACUCCGAUUGCGAAGGCAGCUUACCA